UCAGUGGGGUGAGGGAUGGUGA
This 22-nucleotide microRNA is filed under the name Mus musculus (house mouse). RNAcentral's name for it is "mmu-miR-6926-5p". The record is from miRBase by way of RNAcentral. Lineage: Eukaryota; Metazoa; Chordata; Mammalia; Rodentia; Muridae.